GUUACAGGGCAAAUCGAUUCCAAAGUAUGGCAGUUUGGACAUGAUAGAGACUGGCAGUGGGGAUCUGCUGGACCAGGUCAGUGGAGACUGCGAUGAUGAAGAUGGCUGUGCUGGAUCAGGAAGUGGAGAAGCAAAGAAAGUGACCAAGAUCUCCAAGUGGAUUCCAGACAAGAUGAAAGGCGAUAUAAAGCGACCUCAACAGACUGAAGAUGAGGAGACUUUGGACACAUCUGGCACUGAAAUUACAGUGAAGACUAACCUUGUGACCUUUAAUUUGAUUAAUGUGGCAUCACUGCUUCUCAGUGUAUGGUAAUAUCACUCAUAUAAUGUAAAUGCCUUUCUGUAAGCAGAAAACAAAACCUGGUAUGUUUCAGCUAGUGGAGCAGAGAUGCAAACGUUAUCCAGUAUCCCUGCAUUGACUAGUGUUUGUCCUAUCAAGUAUGGGCAUUUUCAAAAGUAACAGCAUGACUUUAUUAUUAAUUUAUAGAAUGCCUUAGAUUCAAUUUUCUUUACCUUGAAAGAAAGUUGUUUGAGUAGCAUGUUGCUCUUUGAUCACACUAAAAAUGAACUCAUUUGUACAUAACGAAUGAUGCUGCUGAUAUUUUAGAACUGAUCAUUUCAUUCCAGUUUCUUUUAUUUAACGAAUGUCUAAAUAAGUGCUAUGAAUAUGUUUUAACAUAAUGUAUGUCUUUCCAACGGAUUUCUUAGUCUCUUAACACUAAACCAAACAAUGCUAUAUGUUCAGUCUUAUGUAACUUGUAAGUAAUUAAUUUAGGAUCAAUGUAUAUUUUGUUCAAAUUUAAGCCUUGCGAACAAAGCUUUUGCAAAGCUUACAGGACUUUGGUUUGAAUCUGCUGAAACAUGGUGUUAGGUUUCCCUAGUGUACCUGAAGCAGGUAAGAUCACCUCCAUGCACAGUGGAUUCAUUAUCUAACCUGCAAAUGCUUUUUAAGUGACGUUAAAAAGAAAUAACAAGAAGCCUUUAGGUACUCUUGUAGGUAACAUGGGUAUGAUACGUCAUACCUAGCUUUGCUACCGAUUUCAGUUUUUAUUUUAUUACAUCUUUUUUUAAAAUUACUAAUUAAUCAUUUUGUUGUUUGAAAUCCUUAGCUUUCCAAUAUAACAGCCACAAUACCAUCACUGAAUUUGAGUUUCAUACCAGCACAAUCAUUUACAUGACAUCACUCAUUCAGCCAUCUCUUCCCCGGGCUUCACUCAUUCAGCCUUCUCUUCCCCGGGCUUCACUCAUUUAGCCUUCUCCUCCCCGGGCUUCACUCAUUCAGCCAUCUCUUCCCUGGGCUUCACUCAUUUAGCCAUCUCCUCCCCGGGCUUCACUCAUUAAGCUGUCUCUUCCCUGGGCUUCACUCAUUCAGCCGUCUCCUUCCCGGGCUUCACUCAUUAGGCCAUCUCUUCCCCGGGCUUCGCUCAUUCAGCCAUCUCUUCCCUGGGCUUCACUCAUUUAGCCUUCUCUUCCCCGGGCUUCACUCAUUAGGCCAUCUCUUCCCCGGGCUUCACUCAUUUAGUCCUCUCUUCCCUGGGCACUCACCCCUGCUUUCCAUAAACAAGGUCUUGUUUAAAUAGUAUUCUAUAGUAUGCCUAUGCUGAGGCCUUUUAAUGCAGUGUAUCCGUGCAGCAGUUUACAUGUGACUCAUUGGCCACUGUUUACAGAGAUGUUAUAUUUUUUUCGACUUAACUUAAUUGAUGGCCACAAAAAUAAACCCUGGCUGUCCAAACCAGCAAAGCACUCUGAGCACACUGUGUUUCUUCCAAUUUGACAUUAUAAUCCACAUUUGAACUAGUCUGGAGACUAUUAAAUGUCAAUACAAGCCUUGAAUUACUGUUCACUCACUGCACAUUUAAGCAACUGAACAGAUUGAUUUCUGAUGCAAGGUUAAUUCUACUAUAAUGUCAACCUAUUUUAAUAAAUACAUUAUUAACUGUUUAACUAAUAGAUACUAAUGUAUUGAAACAUUGAUGCUAUCUGGACCAUCUAAUUUAAUUUUCCAGUAUGCUAGACACAUUGCAACAUGGGUUUAUAUAUAUAUAUAUAUAUAUAUAUAAAGAUCUUGUUUAUUAUACCAUACAGUAUAAACUGGAAUCCAAUCCUUUAAUGGAGUAUUUAAAUAUAAUUUAUAAAUAUACACAUUGCAUAUAAACAUUAGAAACUAAUAAUCCAAUUGUUAUUACAAAUUAAUUUCCAUCAAAACAAAGCCGGUGUAAUUGUCCAAAUAGUUGUUAUUCUGGAAUGAUUGAAAUUAAUUUAAUCUUCAAGUAAGCAGGGGUUUGUGGUGCAGGGAAGAAUGUUUUGAAGGAACAGUAUGAAUUUCCCAACUGAAUUCAACUAUAAUUUAUUUUUUGUUCUGGUAAGAAAACUAAUAAGCCUAGCUUAUUUAUUUUAUUAAAUGAGUCAAUAUAUCAUGGAUUGUUAUGUUUUGUCACAUCCUUCUGAACUCAAUUAAAGUGGUGUUAUUACAGCAGGCCCAAAUUAAGCAACAUUAAAAUGGGAUUAUCCAUAAUGUACAGUUUUACCAUUUUAAAAAGAAAUGUCAAGAAUAAAAUGAGAUAACUCGCCCAUAAUGCAGAUACUUAUAGCUUAAUCCCCAGGACUCACUCCCCUUGCCAUGCUUGUCAGUUUCUGUCUCCAUGAGACAAACGCAGACAUUUACUAAAAAACACAAACAGCAAUAAAGCACUGACCUGAGCACUGUUCAUUUAACACAAACAUGAUACCCUAUGCAGUUUGUUGAAUAACGCUUCAAGUGCAGGAUUUUCCUGAACAAUUGUGUCCACUACUAUAGGCUCCUAACUGCAGUUCUCACUUACAUCUCUAGAAAUACAUUCCCACAGAGGUGCGGACACCACCACAUGCAUUCAUCUUUACUAACCCUGUACAUGUCCUUUAUUGAAACUCACUUGUACGUAUUGCCCAAUUAAAAGUUAUUGACAUUAAGGAAUCAUAGAAUUUUUUUCAUAUGGCUUAUUUCCCUUAUUUGUGUGUUAGAUUUAAAAAUGGAUUUAUCUUCAUUUCUAUUUUUUGUCAAAGGAGUAGUGUGGCUUUGUGUGCUUGCAUUUCAGGUGUUGCUGUGUAGGUCUGGAAAGAGGUCUGUGAGAAUAAUCUAAGCAAUAGACAGUACAUUAACACCACUACUGAAGGAAUGGAAAUGUACUGUCUUUAGACUGGAGUGUCUCUGGAGAAUGUCAUGCUGCAUGUGAUGAUGUAUCACUAUGGUACGAUGUUUGAUAAUAGUUGCUGCAUUGUGCUGUGGCUCCAGACAGAACAGUGAGGAUGCUGGAUUGCAUUUGUUCAAAUGGCUAGCUUAUUUAAGACUUCAUAUUCAAUUUCAUGACCCUGGUGACUAAUGUGUGUGCAUGUCUGAUGAAGUGAGAAAGGUUUAACAUCAUUCCAUAAUUUGUGCGUUAGUUGUACUGAUCUAGAAUAGAUGAUACAUAUUUGCUCUUUUUUUCUUUGACGACAUAUGAGGGACUUGCUAGCUUAUUAUAUUUUUUGGUUUGCUUGCUUAGUUUUUUAUAUGAGGAUUUAUUUUUUCCCAGUACCUUGUUCUGCCAUUUUUACAUCUUGGAAGCAGGGUUUCUCCUCACACUACUGGCAACUGUGGUGUGUCUUACUGUUACCUCUCCCAAGACUACUGACUUCUAGUCUGAAUCUAAAAUAUACUUAUUUUUGUAUUUCUUAAAAUAUCCUCAGUAUUUCUAUUAGGACCUAAAGCUUUCCAUAUAUAAUGUCUGCACUUAUUUGAUGAAUGCACUUCCCAUACCAUAUUUGAAAUAUCCAGCUAUUUUUCUAGUUAAAGACUCACAAAAGACAUACUGGAGAUAUUUGAUUAUUUUACAGUAUGACCAUGCCAUUAAACAAUGUUUGUUUUCAUGUCUAUUUAUACAAUAAUAUUAAACAGAAAAAGAACAAGUUACAGUGCAUAUGUUAUAUUGAAUACAUAGAGUAACUCAGAGUUAAUCAAACCAUAGAUAUUAUGGAGACAGUUUAUUCUAAAAUGAACAAGAAAUGCACUGCUCCGGACUUAAGGUGAACAUUGCACUUUGUAUGUUAAUGUAACACAGUGUUGUGUGAUGUGUUUCUGUGUCCUAUGAAUUCAACAAAGUUAGAUACUUGUACGUCUAUUUAAAUUUAGCAGGGAGUUUAAAAUCACAGUUUCAUGGAAAGCACCUCAUAACUGAAUAGCAGAAGGUACAAUGGUACUCCUGGAGGAGUAACUGUAGUUCUGAUUGUACAGAUCUGAUGAAAAUAGAAUUUAUGAUGGUACAGGGUUGCUGUCAAAACCCUAAUUCUAAAAUGCAUAAAGUAACUUAUAUAGGGCAUAUGCAAAUGUUGUAAUAAAGCUAUAUACAGUGAAUCAUGUUUUGCCAUGUUAUACAUGUCAUAUCACAUACUCUAAUAUAUGUAUAAAUAACCAGUUGACCAAAGUUGCCAUGUAGCAUACACUCUAAUAGUCAGAAUAAUUCAAUGUAUGUUCAGCUUUGUUAUUUCUUGUUUAAUAUGUAUUUAACCAAACCACUUGUGACUCAAUAUAUUCCAGUCCUGGGAGUCAUUUCUAUAUACCAAUAUCUCCGUAUGAGACAAUUAUGAUGUCUAAAGCAGAUCAUAUAAUAAAAGCAGCAUUCUAUUUAAAGUUUACCUGUACCUGUCAUAUUCUACUGACACCAUUUACUGUACUUCUGCUAUUGCCUGCUCUGUUUUCUCCAACUGAACUCUAAUAAACAUGACUGCCCUAAUUCA
This is a long non-coding RNA of Polyodon spathula (Mississippi paddlefish), 4752 nucleotides long. RefSeq lists it as uncharacterized. The transcript has 2 exons. NCBI's taxonomy places the organism in Eukaryota, Metazoa, Chordata, Actinopteri, Acipenseriformes, Polyodontidae. The record is from RefSeq and is a predicted model, not a curated record.